RNAcentral lists this ribosomal RNA (376 nucleotides) under uncultured bacterium. RNAcentral describes it as "bacterial SSU rRNA". It matches the Rfam family "Bacterial small subunit ribosomal RNA", at positions 29 to 424 of the family's 1533-position model. The record is from RNAcentral.
AAUGAACGUUGGCGGCGUGGAUUAGGCAUGCAAGUCGAGCGAGAACCCAGCAAUGGGGGACAGCGGCGAAAGGGACAGUAAUGUGUAGAUCAUCUGCCCUCAGGCCCGGGAUAGCUGCGGGAAACUGCAGGUAAUACCGGAUAAUAUCUCCGGAUCAAAGGUGUGAUUCCGCCUGGGGAUGAGUCUACAUCCUAUUAGCUUGUUGGUGGGGUAAUGGCCUACCAAGGCGAUGAUGGGUAGCGGGUGUGAGAGCACGACCCGCGUCAUUGGGACUGAGACACUGCCCAGACACCUACGGGUGGCUGCAGUCGAGAAUCUUCGGCAAUGGGCGCAAGCCUGACCGAGCGACGCCGCGUGCGGGAUGAAGGCCUCGGUU